CGGAUCGGCAUCGAUCUGAGGGAAAAGGAGCAAUCCGCUUUGAGAUGGCCUCGCGUCCGAUUAGCUAGUUGGUGAGGUAAUGGCCCACCAAGGCGACGAUCGGUAGCCGGACUGAGAGGUUGAACGGCCACAUUGGGACUGAGACACGGCCCAGACUCCUACGGGAGGCAGCAGUGGGGAAUAUUGCACAAUGGGGGAAACCCUGAUGCAGCGACGCCGCGUGGAGGAAGAAGGUCUUCGGAUUGUAAACUCCUGUUGUUGAGGAAGAUAAUGACGGUACUCAACAAGGAAGUGACGGCUAACUACGUGCCAGCAGCCGCGGUAAAACGUAGGUCACAAGCGUUGUCCGGAAUUACUGGGUGUAAAGGGAGCGCAGGCGGGAAGACAAGUUGGAAGUGAAAUCUAUGGGCUCAACCCAUAAACUGCUUUCAAAACUGUUUUUCUUGAGUAGUGCAGAGGUAGGCGGAAUUCCCGGUGUAGCGGUGGAAUGCGUAGAUAUCGGGAGGAACACCAGUGGCGAAGGCGGCCUACUGGGCACCAACUGACGCUGAGGCUCGAAAGUGUGGGUAGCAAACAGGAUUAGAUACCCUGGUAGUCCACACCGUAAACGAUGAUUACUAGGUGUUGGAGGAUUGACCCCUUCAGUGCCGCAGUUAACACAAUAAGUAAUCCACCUGGGGAGUACGACCGCA
RNAcentral lists this ribosomal RNA (692 nucleotides) under uncultured bacterium. RNAcentral describes it as "bacterial SSU rRNA". It matches the Rfam family "Bacterial small subunit ribosomal RNA", at positions 181 to 890 of the family's 1533-position model. The record is from RNAcentral.